GGAGGAAAAUGAAGCGGCAAGAGCUCAAUUUGAAAUCUGGCCUCCUCCGGGGGUCCGAGUUGUAAUUUGCAGAGGAUGCUUCGGGUGCGGCCCCCGUCUAAGUUCCUUGGAAUAGGACGUCAGAGAGGGUGAGAAUCCCGUCUUGGGCGGGCGGCCCGCGCCCGUGUGAAGCUCCUUCGACGAGUCGAGUUGUUUGGGAAUGCAGCUCUAAGCGGGUGGUAAAUUUCAUCUAAAGCUAAAUAUUGGCCGGAGACCGAUAGCGCACAAGUAGAGUGAUCGAAAGGUUAAAAGCACCUUGAAAAGGGAGUUAAACAGCACGUGAAAUUGUUGAAAGGGAAGCGCUUGCGGCCAGACUCGGGGGCGGGGUUCAGCGGGCGCUCGUCGCCCGUGCACUCCCCGCGCCCCGGGCCAGCAUCAGUUUCGACGGUCGGUCAAAGGCCCCCGGAAUGUGUCGUCUCUAGGGACGUCUUAUAGCCGGGGGUGCAAUGCGGCCCGUCGGGACUGAGGAACGCGCUUCGGCUCGGAUGCUGGCGUAAUGGCCGUAAGCGGCCCGUCUUGAAACACGGACCAAGGAGUCUAACAUCCACGCGAGUGUUCGGGUGUCAAACCCGUGCGCGCAGUGAAAGCGAACGGAGGUGGGAGCCUUUGGGCGCACCAUCGACCGAUCCUGAAGUCUUCGGAUGGAUUUGAGUGGGAGCGUGGCCGUUGGGACCCGAAAGAUGGUGAACUAUGCCUGAAUAGGGUGAAGCCAGAGGAAACUCUGGUGGAGGCUCGCAGCGGUUCUGACGUGCAAAUCGAUCGUCAAAUUU
RNAcentral lists this ribosomal RNA (809 nucleotides) under Trichophyton benhamiae. RNAcentral describes it as "eukaryotic LSU rRNA". It matches the Rfam family "Eukaryotic large subunit ribosomal RNA", at positions 85 to 912 of the family's 3401-position model. The record is from RNAcentral. Lineage: Eukaryota; Fungi; Ascomycota; Eurotiomycetes; Onygenales; Arthrodermataceae.